This 497-nucleotide ribosomal RNA is filed under the name uncultured bacterium. RNAcentral describes it as "partial 16S ribosomal RNA". It matches the Rfam family "Bacterial small subunit ribosomal RNA", at positions 28 to 507 of the family's 1533-position model. The record is from RNAcentral.
GAUGAACGCUGGCGGCGUGCCUAAUACAUGCAAGUCGAGCGAACAGACGAGGAGCUUGCUCCUCUGACGUUAGCGGCGGACGGGUGAGUAACACGUGGAUAACCUACCUAUAAGACUGGGAUAACUUCGGGAAACCGGAGCUAAUACCGGAUAAUAUAUUGAACCGCAUGGUUCAAUAGUUAAUGACGGCUUUGCUGUCACUUAUAGAUGGAUCCGCGCCGCAUUAGCUAGUUGGUAAGGUAACGGCUUACCAAGGCAACGAUGCGUAGCCGACCUGAGAGGGUGAUCGGCCACACUGGAACUGAGACACGGUCCAGACUCCUACGGGAGGCAGCAGUAGGGAAUCUUCCGCAAUGGGCGAAAGCUUGACGGAGCAACGCCGCGUGAGUGAUGAAGGUCUUCGGAUCGUAAAACUCUGUUAUUAGGGAAGAACAAAUGUGUAAGUAACUAUGCACGUCUUGACGGUACCUAAUCAGAAAGCAACGGCUAACUACGUG